AUUGAACGCUGGCGGCAUGCUUUACACAUGCAAGUCGAACGGCAGCACGGGUGCUUGCACCUGGUGGCGAGUGGCGAACGGGUGAGUAAUGCAUCGGAACGUGCCCAUGAGUGGGGGAUAGCCCGGCGAAAGCCGGAUUAAUACCGCAUACGCCCUUAGGGGGAAAGCGGGGGAUCUUCGGACCUCGCGCUAUUGGAGCGGCCGAUGUCGGAUUAGCUAGUAGGUGAGGUAAAGGCUCACCUAGGCGACGAUCCGUAGCUGGUCUGAGAGGAUGAUCAGCCACACUGGGACUGAGACACGGCCCAGACUCCUACGGGAGGCAGCAGUGGGGAAUUUUGGACAAUGGGCGCAAGCCUGAUCCAGCCAUGCCGCGUGAGUGAAGAAGGCCUGGUGUAAG
RNAcentral lists this ribosomal RNA (397 nucleotides) under uncultured bacterium. RNAcentral describes it as "bacterial SSU rRNA". It matches the Rfam family "Bacterial small subunit ribosomal RNA", at positions 29 to 429 of the family's 1533-position model. The record is from RNAcentral.